RNAcentral lists this ribosomal RNA (454 nucleotides) under uncultured bacterium. RNAcentral describes it as "bacterial SSU rRNA". It matches the Rfam family "Bacterial small subunit ribosomal RNA", at positions 340 to 786 of the family's 1533-position model. The record is from RNAcentral.
UACGGAAGGCAGCAGUGGGGAAUAUUGCACAAUGGGCGCAAGCCUGAUGCAGCCAUGCCGCGUGUAUGAAGAAGGCCUUCGGGUUGUAAAGUACUUUCAGUCGUGAGGAAGGUGUUAAGGUUAAUAACCUUAGCAAUUGACGUUAGCGACAGAAGAAGCACCGGCUAACUCCGUGCCAGCAGCCGCGGUAAUACGGAGGGUGCGAGCGUUAAUCGGAAUUACUGGGCGUAAAGGGCACGCAGGCGGUUAAUUAAGUUGGAUGUGAAAUCCCCGGGCUUAACCUGGGAAUGGCAUUCAAGACUGGUUAGCUAGAGUCUUGUAGAGGGGGUAGAAUUCCAUGUGUAGCGGUGAAAUGCGUAGAGAUGUGGAGGAAUACCGGGUGCGAAGGCGGCCCCUGGGACAAAGACUGACGCUCAUGUGCGAAAGCGUGGGGAGCAAACAGGGAUUAGAUACC